This 1502-nucleotide long non-coding RNA is filed under the name Felis catus (domestic cat). RNAcentral's name for it is "lncRNA (ENSFCAG00000044724.2)". Lineage: Eukaryota; Metazoa; Chordata; Mammalia; Carnivora; Felidae. The record is from RNAcentral.
UGCCGGAGGUUCUAGAAUUGAGACCCUGUUGCCCAGCAACCUUGAUAAUACACAUAGAGUGACUUUUCCUCCUUCCUGGGCUUGCUCACUUCCUUUCCCUUUACCCCUGCUUCCUGGGAUCUCCUCCCAAACGAACGAGUCCUGUCUCAGGCUCUGCUUCUGGGGGAACCCAAGCUAAGAGAGAAGUGCUAUUAACAACCGGAGGAUCUGAAUGCCAUCUCUUACCUUUCAGAAUUGUCACUUACACCUAAACCAGAGAGGAGGAGAGUCCCAACGCUGGCUUUGAAACACCUCUGACCCACAGGAAAUGGCUGUUUUCAAGUGUCAGGAGGAAGCCCGGGGAGCUUGACUUGGAAAGACUUACAGUGCAGAGGACAGCAGACACAGCGGAGUGUGGGAGGUAAUGCCUGAAGCUUCACUAGAGGGAUUCAGUGAAAGUUUGCAGCCUGCCUGCAAGGACCUCCCCCAGAGCCUUCCUCAGGAGGCUGGCGGUCAAGCACGGACUCCCCAAAAGAAAGACUGGAGAGGAUAAGUACCCCCAGACUGACAAGUUAACGCGAAGGGCCGGCGCUGGCCCCCCAAGCACCUCUGCAGAGACCCGGGAUGCCAGGGAGGCCCAUUUACAAGCCAGCAAUUCCAAAGGUAUUAGCCCAGAGUCACGAGGAACCCCGGAACACAUCCAGCAGAUGAACCCCUUGGAGAUCAGCAGAGUUUCCCAAGCACUCUGCCGUGGAUCAUAAUGUACAUAACGGCUCUUCACGUGGACGUGUUGCCAGCUCAACCUCCUUAUAAGAAUUCGGGAUGCGUUACAGAAACACGGCUCUCCAAAACUUCGCGUUCCUUUAAAAUUUCAUUCUGAGGAGUAGUCAUGAGGCCUGCUCUCGCCACGGCCAAGUCCACCACAUUAAAGCAAAUGAAAACCUAACUCAGAUGAUUCAUAUAAAAUUAGUCUUUCCAUAACCUUUUAUAUUAUCAAAGUGCUUUGCCCCUCUGGUGUUGGUCUGUGUAAACCAAGUGAUUCAGCCAGCCAAAACAUCAAGGAGAAAGAUCCCACCAGGCUUUGAUUGAAUUACAUAGUCCAUUUUGUUGUUGUUGUUGGCCAUUGCUGAAGUUUUCGUAUGAAAUUAAAAUGAAAGAGCCUACCCCUCCCAGCUAACAUCUCUGUAAGAAAAUCAUUGGCCGGCCUUUGUUCUCCUCCCCUCUGUAGAGUGAAGGACCAAGCCCUCCCAUUUGGUUGCAAGGUGGCACAUUUGAGAGCUUUGUCCCAAGAUACAAGGUAACCCAAAGAGUAGGUCUUCAGCUUGGGUUCUCCCAGCAGCAGACCCUGAGGCAAGAAUUUGAGUGUAAGCGACCCUGGGUGGCUCAGUCAGUGAAACCUCUGACUUCAGCUCAGGUCACCAUCGCGUGGUGCGUGUUUUCAAGAUAUACAUCAGGCUCUCUGCUGUCAGCGAAGAGCUUGCUUCAGAUCCCUUCUCUCCCUCUCUCACUGCCCCUCUCCCCCU